CAUUUUGGAGACUUGAAAACCUCAGCUUCACAGGAGUAGGGGUUAUUUGAUUCAUCGUACCUGCAUUUCCAGCUCCUACUAUGAAAAAUAAGAAGCUCACACUACGCAUACAGAAUAUCGCUUGGGAAUCAGUCAAAGUGUGCCUUGGAUUUCCGGAAAAGUGAGGUGACCCAACUCCUCCCAAGCACAGUGGACAAUGAGCUUGAGAAGCCGAUGUGAGAGCCUUGAUGGCUACUGUGGAGUUGGAGAGAGAAGGAUUUCUGGAGUCAGCAUCAGAAGUAAGGAUGAGCUUGAACAACUGAGAGGAUCAGGGUAGGAGGUGGCACUUGAGAUAAGCCUCGAAGGAAACAAAUAUUAAUGAAGAUUCCUGACAACAAAAAUCUUAUUUAUGUUCUUGGGGGAUCACUUGGUGGAAGAAAAACCUGCCCCAAC
RNAcentral lists this long non-coding RNA (432 nucleotides) under Monodelphis domestica (gray short-tailed opossum). RNAcentral's name for it is "lncRNA (ENSMODG00000049093.1)". The record is from RNAcentral. Lineage: Eukaryota; Metazoa; Chordata; Mammalia; Didelphimorphia; Didelphidae.